GCUCCCAUUGGAGAACAGAAAAUUUAAUGAGCUUUUAAUGGAAUGCAAUGCUCAGAGUAGUAAAUUAUUUGUUAGUUGACGAUGCAAUCAGCAUGCUGAUUAAGGUUGCUUGGUUUUUUACUAAACAUUAACUGAAUGAAAACGGUUAGUCCUUGUUGUUCUGCUUGGGGGGCUUUCGUGAAGCAAAUGGACUUUCAGAACAGAGAUUGUCAAUAAAGCUUGAAAAAGCAACCAGCGAACGUGCAGAUUACCGAAGCAUGCAGUGUCGUACAGUGAAGCAUUUUAAAUCUGAUGCUGCAGAAGACAACGUGCCCAAUAUGGUAUGUGAAGACAACUCAGGGAGACUAAUGCAGAUAACACGUUCAUGUCACAUAACUGUGAAGCCUUGCGUCAGAGGGAGGUAAAUCAAGAAAAACUGCACUGAACUUAGACCAAGUCACAGCUGCAAGAAGAGCAGUGUCAUGGAAACUGUUUUGAAGCCAGUGGCCCUGCACUGCUGGAGUGUUGUAGCUCCCUGAAAGGCAAAGUUGUCCAGCUUAGUCAAAUCUGCCCAGGGUCAUGCUGAGCACGUACCUUCCCUGGGCCCUGCACAAGGACGGCACGAUGCUGCAAACUGAGAGUAGCUGGUAAAGCAAAGACAGGUAAAAGGAGACGUGGAAAUUCA
Molecule: long non-coding RNA, 664 nt
Organism: Aquila chrysaetos chrysaetos
Lineage: Eukaryota; Metazoa; Chordata; Aves; Accipitriformes; Accipitridae
Exons: 4
Source: RefSeq, a predicted model, not a curated record